UACAGAGACCUCGAGCGUUAUCCGGAAUCAUUGGGCGUAAAGCGUACCGAUAGGUGGUUAAGAAAGUCAGAUGUGAAAUCUCCGAGCUCAACUCGGAAUCUGUCAUUUGAAACUUCUUGACUAGAGGAGCAAAGAGGAAGCUGGAACGAACGGUGUAGUAGUGAAAUGCGUUGAUAUCGUUCGGAACACCAAUAGCGUAGGCAGGCUUCUGGGUGCUACCUGACACUGCUAGGACGAAAGCGUGGGGAGCGAAGGGGAUUAGAUACCCCCGUAGUCCACGCUGUAAACGAUGUACAUUAGGCGCUAGGGAGUAUCGACCCUCUUUAGUGCCAAAGCUAACGCGAUAAAUGUACCGCCUGGGGAGUACGGCCGCAAGGUUA
RNAcentral lists this ribosomal RNA (380 nucleotides) under uncultured bacterium. RNAcentral's name for it is "bacterial SSU rRNA". It matches the Rfam family "Bacterial small subunit ribosomal RNA", at positions 524 to 896 of the family's 1533-position model. The record is from RNAcentral.